Molecule: long non-coding RNA, 1004 nt
Organism: Condylura cristata (star-nosed mole)
Lineage: Eukaryota; Metazoa; Chordata; Mammalia; Eulipotyphla; Talpidae
Exons: 5
Source: RefSeq, a predicted model, not a curated record
UAGCAACGGUAGCGCGGCAGCUCCGGGUCACCCCUCUCUCCUGCCUUCCUUCCCACUUCCAACUACCCAUCCCCGCCAUCUAUGCUGGGGGCUUCUUAAGACCUCCCCAUCUCCUCUCCUGCCGCGUAGCCCAAGAGAGCAGCCUACCUGCCAGGGGGAUGGCAUCCACAUCUACCAGGAACGAGGAGAAAAAGGGCGGCCGGUCACCCCAAGCUGCAGCCUCCUUGGGUGGAUGUUCGAAGGUUUCGUUAUCCCGUUCGGAGGAAUUCCUGGCCCGGAUCAGCACAGAACUCACCAAUGAAGCCCUGUUUAUCGCUGGCUACCACAUGAACUCUAUGCCCAAAAAGGACAAACAGACAGAAGACCGAGGGACUCAGAUAUCCAGACACGGUGACCCCCCACUUCAGGACCACUGUAUCCAGAGACCCACCCAUACUCGUAGUUCUAGACUCGGACCCCUGUAAACACAGUCGCCUCUUCAGGACUCUGUGCUCAUCUCCCCCAUCUCACAGUCAACCCCAGGAUCCACACAGUGCCCACUAACCCAGCAUCCACUUCUCAUUGCUGCCCAGGAGCCCCUCGGUCCCUGUGCUCCCUCCCUAGCCACAUCUCUGUCUGUGGGGACAGUCAUUUCUCCGAUCAGGGCUCUACUUCCAGUGUUCUUCAUCAAGAAUCAAGGCACUGACACCUGCUCCAAUGGAAACUGCACCCGCACCAAGACUUAACUUCCUGCCAUCCCCUGGGACAAGGGAGCGCUGUCUGACAGCUUGGCGUCCGGAAGAUGAUCCCACCCCUGCUGGGUGCUGCUCUUGGCCUCAUGUUCUCCCCUGUCCUGUGCCUCUGAACAUGCCUUCAAGUUCCUUUUCCACAAUUCAGUAAACACUUCGGUGUGGAGAAAACUUGCGAACAUCAUCUCUGGAGCCUCCAAAGUGUUCUGGACCAUCGUGUACCUCUCCGCCCUCAGCUGGCCAGGAAACAAAGGCUUUAAUAAAGAGAGACCUUCC